Molecule: transfer RNA, 76 nt
Filed under: Promethearchaeota archaeon
Lineage: Archaea; Promethearchaeati; Promethearchaeota
Also listed under: 1 other name
Description: Candidatus Lokiarchaeota archaeon (microbial mat metagenome) tRNA-Gln
Rfam family: tRNA
About the family: Transfer RNA (tRNA) molecules are approximately 80 nucleotides in length. Their secondary structure includes four short double-helical elements and three loops (D, anti-codon, and T loops).
Source: RNAcentral
AGCCCUGUAGUGUAGCGGUCAAUCAUUUCGGGUUUUGGUCCCGGAGACCCAGGUUCGAAUCCUGGCAGGGCUACCA